AAUGAAUUAUUUUUUUACCAGUGAUAAAAAAAUAAAAAAAUUAAUAUACCAGAGUUGAGGUGAAUUACAAACAGGCAGUUCACAGUUUCUCAAUAAUUUAUGUGAAUAGUAAUCGGAGUUACGUACCUAUCAGGUAUUUUUAACGCUGUUGUAGUUACAUCACAUAAACAGUCUCUGCAUUGAGGAUUAACAAAUUCUUGGGAUAAUCCCGAUAUCCCUUUAGAAAUAAAUAUGCAGCUUCCAAAUUUCUCUUGUGAAGUAUCAUCAUUAAAACAAACAGACUCCAAUGAUCUUUGCUUGGUAAAAAAUCUGCAAGGGAUGUUAAUUGUAAUAACAAAAGAGCAGAAAAGUAAUCAGUACCUGAAAAUAGAUAAGCGUGGAACUGGAUUAGGGUAUAUAGUAAAACAGAAAAUGUUGGACUCCCAGCAAGUACAAUACAGGCUACGACAACAUAUGUACAAAAACAUGUGAAAAAGUCAACAGGGAUUGUUAGAAUAGAAACUACUAUAAUGACAGGAUUAUCUUAACACCCCCAUGAUUAAUAUCUUUGCAUCAGCCGACAUUAUCUGUAUUUACAUCAGGACAAAGCUGGAUCGAUGGAAGUACUUGCACUAUUUGUGACACAGGUACAAUACUCAUAUCAUGAUUUGAAUAAAAUGGAAUGAAUACCUGGAACUAGCAAUGACUAAUUCAAGUACAUGUAUCUUUUCAAAUAAGCUAACCAUUGUAUGUGAGUUAUUAAUAUCACAAAUCUUAGAUUAUUUAUCGAUAGAAUUAUCCCCUGAAGCCUUCUGAUG
RNAcentral lists this unclassified non-coding RNA (797 nucleotides) under Athalia rosae (coleseed sawfly). Its description in RNAcentral is "misc RNA ENSAEAG00005003397.1". Lineage: Eukaryota; Metazoa; Arthropoda; Insecta; Hymenoptera; Athaliidae. The record is from RNAcentral.